Molecule: long non-coding RNA, 894 nt
Organism: Erigeron canadensis
Lineage: Eukaryota; Viridiplantae; Streptophyta; Magnoliopsida; Asterales; Asteraceae
Exons: 2
Source: RefSeq, a predicted model, not a curated record
UGCAAGUCCAUGUUCUUGAUUAUUGUGUUCUAUGGCUUAUAAAAUUUGGCCUUUGGAGUUGAGGAGCCAUUAAAAAGCUUCCAAAGCAAGAGCCUUCAAUGAUUAUAAAGUGGUCGUCAUUAACCCAACCAAUCUGUGUCGGGUGGUGGCAACAAAUACUAACCUGGAGCAGAGGUAUUGAAAGAAUGGCCCGGUCGGCAGAACUUAAGCGGAUACAAAAGAAGUAAGCUUAUUACUCUUGUGAUUUUUAGGUAGCGUAUAUCAUUAACUAUUGUUAACUAAAAGGUAAAUUGGGCUGUUAUUCUGUUUACAAACUUUUGGUAUGCUUUAUGGUAUGUAUAUUAUAUAGUAUUAGAUCCAAUAUACUCAUUACAACUAUAAGUUUUUUUUCUUAUUCUGCAGACAAUGUUAAGUUGUUGACUGAUGUCAUUUGAUGUUGGAAUAGGAUUCAGGGUGGUGUUUGAGCAGUAUUACCUUCAUCUUUUAUUACUGAAAUUAAUGUUAAUACAAAGUUACCCAUUUGAGAAAUUGAUUCACAUGUUUCUUAUCUGAAUUUAAUGACGGAUUUUUUUUCAAUGUGGAUGUUGAUGCUUAUGCCUCUUUAGUGUCUCUAAGCUAAAUCACGGUCGUCAAGUUGGGCGGCAGAGUUGCAAGUUCCGGAGUUGCUAAUGCUGUGAAUCUGGACUUUGGUAUAACACCGAAUUUUAACUUUUCUGUAAGUUGACUAUGAUUUUGAACCAUCUGUUAAAGAAAUGUACAUAUUAAUUUUUCUACUUUGUGUCUCCAUGAUUUUCAUUCUCAUCAAAAGGCGUCUUUUUUUAUUAGUUAGAGGGAUUCGUUGAUAAUGGAUCAGGUAUGCGCUGUCGUGCGACAUUUAUGUCUCUCUUUCAGUUA